RNAcentral lists this ribosomal RNA (253 nucleotides) under uncultured bacterium. Its description in RNAcentral is "partial 16S ribosomal RNA". It matches the Rfam family "Bacterial small subunit ribosomal RNA", at positions 524 to 776 of the family's 1533-position model. The record is from RNAcentral.
UACGAAGGGGGCUAGCGUUGCUCGGAAUCACUGGGCGUAAAGCGCGCGUAGGCGGGUCUUUAAGUCGGGGGUGAAAUCCUGGAGCUCAACUCCAGAACUGCCUUUGAUACUGAGGAUCUUGAGUUCGGGAGAGGUGAGUGGAACUGCGAGUGUAGAGGUGAAAUUCGUAGAUAUUCGCAAGAACACCAGUGGCGAAGGCGGCUCACUGGCCCGAUACUGACGCUGAGGAGCGAAAGCGUGGGGAGCGAACAGG